GAGAGUUAAACAGUACGUGAAAUUGUUGAAAGGGAAACGAUUGAAGCCAGUCGUACCUUCGGGUAAUCAGCCUUUCGGGUGCGAUUCUGUGGAGUUUGAGGAGCUUAACACCUUCAUGCUUUUGCAUAUUCGUGCUCUUGGGUGUACUUGCCCGUGUGGUUGGUUAACAUCAAUUUCGGGCACCAUAAAAUGGCUGGAGGAAUGUAGCUUCGAUCUUGUAUUGAAGUGUUAUAGCCUUCGGUAGAUGUGGUGAUCGAGAUUGAGGAUUGCAACGGAUACCUUUCGGGGCUACCUGUCUGAUCUCUGAUCGUUGCUUUGGUGCUGAAAGCUUGCUUAUGGUUAUCAAAGUCGAUGGUCAAUAGGUUAGAAUGGGUUAAAUUCGUUAAGGAUGUUGACGUAAUGGCUUUAAACGA
RNAcentral lists this ribosomal RNA (413 nucleotides) under uncultured Rhizophagus. RNAcentral's name for it is "partial 28S ribosomal RNA". The record is from RNAcentral. Lineage: Eukaryota; Fungi; Glomeromycota; Glomeromycetes; Glomerales; Glomeraceae.